GCAAACUUGGUCAUUUAGAGGAAGUAAAAGUCGUAACAAGGUCUCCGUUGGUGAACCAGCGGAGGGAUCAUUACAGAGUUUCUAAAACUCCCUGUAAACCCUUGUGAACCUACCUGUACGUCGUUGCUUCGGCGGGUAGCCCCGUGUAGGGGCCCUCGCCUCCUUUAUUGGAGGUGCCCGCCGGAGGACCACAACCUUAAACUCUUGAAUUUCAAUGGAAUCUCUGAGUAACAUACCAAAAUAAGUUAAAACUUUCAACAACGGAUCUCUUGGUUCUGGCAUCGAUGAAGAACGCAGC
RNAcentral lists this unclassified non-coding RNA (298 nucleotides) under uncultured fungus. Its description in RNAcentral is "partial contains small subunit ribosomal RNA, internal transcribed spacer 1, and 5.8S ribosomal RNA". The stretch from base 1 to 73 matches the Rfam family "Eukaryotic small subunit ribosomal RNA", at positions 1759 to 1831 of the family's 1831-position model. Lineage: Eukaryota; Fungi. The record is from RNAcentral.